RNAcentral lists this transfer RNA (71 nucleotides) under Heterocephalus glaber (naked mole-rat). It matches the Rfam family "tRNA". Rfam says of the family: Transfer RNA (tRNA) molecules are approximately 80 nucleotides in length. Their secondary structure includes four short double-helical elements and three loops (D, anti-codon, and T loops). Further hydrogen bonds mediate the characteristic L-shaped molecular structure. tRNAs have two regions of fundamental functional importance: the anti-codon, which is responsible for specific mRNA codon recognition, and the 3' end, to which the tRNAs corresponding amino acid is attached (by aminoacyl-tRNA synthetases). tRNAs cope with the degeneracy of the genetic code in two manners: having more than one tRNA (with a specific anti-codon) for a particular amino acid; and 'wobble' base-pairing, i.e. permitting non-standard base-pairing at the 3rd anti-codon position. Lineage: Eukaryota; Metazoa; Chordata; Mammalia; Rodentia; Bathyergidae. The record is from Rfam by way of RNAcentral.
GGGGAUUUAGCUUAGUGGUGCUGCACCUGCCUUGCAAGCACGAGAUCCUGAGUUCAAUCCCAGGUACCCCA